This is a long non-coding RNA of Mustela lutreola (European mink), 535 nucleotides long. RefSeq lists it as uncharacterized. The transcript is spliced from 3 exons. NCBI's taxonomy places the organism in Eukaryota, Metazoa, Chordata, Mammalia, Carnivora, Mustelidae. The record is from RefSeq and is a predicted model, not a curated record.
AGUGGCCUAGGGGUUCAGUGGGGGUGGGGCGGAGGGGAGGAAUUUCAAGGUCCUGGGCCGAUAAAUGAGAACACAGGAAUGAAUCGAAACUGGCGUGAGCGCUGGAGGCUUCCCGCUUUGUGAUGGGAGGCAGAUUAAAUCACACAUGGAAAGGACCCAGGUCCGGCUGGACCUUGAAGCACGGCUAAGAGCACCCCAAGCACAGGGAAAGGUUUAGACGGUCUCGCAUUCAGAGAUCCCCCGGGGUGGAAGAUGCAGAAAAUGAGUCCGAAAGAGAAGAUCCUUACAGAAGUCCACUAGCCAGGAAGCAGCAGGGCCUGGAUUCAAAUGCAAGCCUAUCUCACCACAGAGAAAGCCCACAUUUUUCCCCCUGACAACCGGCAGCCUGCCUAGUGAUAGGCAGAGCAGAAGAGAAGGAGUAGCAUCAUCUCCAAGGCCAUCCCCUAGUCCUUUGGCCACGAGCGGAGCUAUCUACAGGCACCGUUUCUCCAGGAUGUUUUCCUGCCCGAGUCCCAGCUGCCUCACCAGCUACGUG